Molecule: ribosomal RNA, 467 nt
Filed under: uncultured bacterium
Lineage: Bacteria
Description: partial 16S ribosomal RNA
Rfam family: Bacterial small subunit ribosomal RNA
Source: RNAcentral
GAUGAACGCUGGCGGCGUGCUUAACACAUGCAAGUCGAACGGAAAGGCCCAAGGUUGCUUGGGUACUCGAGUGGCGAACGGGUGAGUAACACGUGGGUGAUCUGCCCUUCACUUCGGGAUAAGCCUGGGAAACUGGGUCUAAUACCGGAGAGGACCACUUUAUGGAUGGGGUGGUGGAAAGUUUUGCGGUGUGGGAGUAGCUCGCGGCCGAUCAGCUUGUUGGUGGGGUAGUGGCCUAGCAAGGCGUCGACGGGGAGCCGGCCUGCGAGGGUGUAGGGCCACACUGGGACCGGGAGACGGGCCAGAGUCCGACGGGAGGCGGCAGUGGGGAAUAUUGGACAAUGGGCGCAAGCGUGAUGCAGCGACGCCGCGUGGGGGAUGACGGCCUUCGGGUUGUAAAAUCCUAUGGCUAGGGACGAAGCGUUUUUGUGACGGUACCUGGAGAAGAAGCACCGGCUAACUACGUG